GGUGUGUACUGGUCUUUCCGCCCUUCCUUCUGGUUUUUGCUACCUUCUGCUCUUAACUGAGCGGGAGAAUAGCUCCAGAUCGUUUACUUUGAAAAAAUUAGAGUGUUCAAAGCAGGUACCAAAAACUUUACGCCUUGAAUACAUUAGCAUGGGAUAAUAAAAUAGGACGUGCGGUUCUAUUUUGUUGGUUUCUAGAGUCGCCGUAAUGAUUAAUAGGGAUAGUUGGGGGCAUUGGUAUUGAGUCGCUAGAGGUGAAAUUCUUGGAUUGACUCAAGACCAACAACUGCGAAAGCAUUUGCCAAGGAUGUUUUCAUUAAUCAAGAACGAAGGUUAGGGGAUCGAAAACGAUCAGAUACCGUUGUAGUCUUAACAGUAAACUAUGCCGACUAGGGAUCGGGCGACCUCAAUUUUUAUGUGUCGCUCGGCACCUUACGAGGAAUCAAAGUCUUUGGGUUCUGGGGGGAGUAUGGUCGCAAGGCUGAAACUUAAAGGAAUUGACGGAAGGGCACCACCAGGUGUGGAGCCUGCGGCUUAAUUUGACUCAACACGGGGAAACUCACCAGGUCCAGACAUAACUAGGAUUGACAGAUUGAUAGCUCUUUCAUGAUUUUAUGGGUGGUGGUGCAUGGCCGUUCUUAGUUGGUGGAGUGAUUUGUCUGGUUAAUUCCGAUAACGAACGAGACCUUAACCUGCUAAAUAGCCAGGCCGUCUUUGGAUGGUCGCCGGCUUCUUAGAGGGACUGUCAG
This 746-nucleotide ribosomal RNA is filed under the name uncultured eukaryote. Its description in RNAcentral is "bacterial SSU rRNA". It matches the Rfam family "Eukaryotic small subunit ribosomal RNA", at positions 669 to 1426 of the family's 1831-position model. The record is from RNAcentral.